Molecule: non-coding RNA, 750 nt
Organism: Rattus norvegicus (Norway rat)
Lineage: Eukaryota; Metazoa; Chordata; Mammalia; Rodentia; Muridae
Source: RefSeq, a predicted model, not a curated record
GCCCUAAACUGCCUGUCCUAUCUCCCCUUCUCAUCAGAUAUUUCCAGGUCCCUCUCAAGAACCAGCCUGUGACGUCACUGAGGCUCCUUAGCAACCCUUUGAAGAGAAAGACUACAAAAUGAACAAAAAAUCAAGAUGAAGACAAUGGUUUCAGAAUCUCACAUGUGACUGCCGCAAAGCUCCCAAACCUGCAUUCGUACUCCCUGGGGGUCGCGCUUUCUUCUCAGACCUGUAGUCCUAAGUUUAUGUGAGUGAAAAAGCUGAAGCCCAGUACCGGAAACACUAAGUAAUGAGAGAGACCCAGACUAUCAGUGCAACCCAGCGGCUCCUGGAAAGCACAAACUACAAAACCUUAACCGGAGUUGAUGAGCGUCUAGGUGUGUAGAUGCACAGGUGUAAGUGUACUAGAAAGACAUUUUGGAUGUGAAGUGUCUCACACGCUCAUACGUUUGCACGCUAGCUUUCCAGCUUGUGGCACUGUUUAGGAAAGUUGUGUGGCUUCUGAGAAGGCGGCCUGGCUCCAGCAGAAAAGAUUCCUUUGAUGGGCCUGGCCUGGAAGUUGUUAUCCAAUGACUGAAAAGUUUGCUAAUCCACUCUGUUCCUGGUCCGAGCUCUCAGUCCACAUAGAGUAAGCGAUGAGGUAAGCUUCUGCCAUUGCAAUGGGCCACCAUGCCUUCUCCACCAGGAUGUGGGCCAAAAAUAAUAAAUGAAAUAAAAAUAAAAAAUAAAGAUAAAUCUAUUCUCUGUUAA